This is a long non-coding RNA of Aquila chrysaetos chrysaetos, 319 nucleotides long. RefSeq lists it as uncharacterized. The record is from RefSeq and is a predicted model, not a curated record. The transcript is spliced from 2 exons. Lineage: Eukaryota; Metazoa; Chordata; Aves; Accipitriformes; Accipitridae.
GAUAGCUGCUCAUCGCAAAACACCAGUUCAGUCCUCAAAACCGAUCCUCGUUACACGCCCGAGUGUUGCUGCUGUUGCCUUCUUAAACCAGUGAUCUGUAGUGAUUCUCUCCUACCCUUUCCCUCCCCACCUCCGCUGUAGACUGCGAACCGAGCAACGAUUUUUAAAGCAAAUAUUUAUUCGCUUUUCUUUUAGGCAGAGCUGGUGCACGUUCGGGGCUCUGCAUUUUGCGGAAUCACGCUGAGACUUGCUGCUUCGAUGAUUGCUAAAAUGUAGCGUCACCUACCUGGGUAAGUGGGAAAUAAACUUUAAUGUUAAA